AAUGAACGCUGGCGGCAGGCCUAACACAUGCAAGUCGAACGGAUCCUUCGGGAUUAGUGGCGGACGGGUGAGUAACGCGUGGGAACAUACCCUUUGGUACGGAAUAGCCUCGGGAAACUGGGAGUAAUACCGUAUGUGGUCGAGAGACGAAAGAUUUAUCGCCAAAGGAUUGGCCCGCGUUGGAUUAGGUAGUUGGUGGGGUAAUGGCCUGCCAAGCCGACGAUCCAUAGCUGGUUUGAGAGGAUGAUCAGCCACACUGGGACUGAGACACGGCCCAGACUCCUACGGGAGGCAGCAGUGGGGAACCUUAGACAAUGGGGGAAACCUUGAUCUAGCCAUGCCGCGUGAUCGAUGAAGGCCUUAGGGUUGUAAAGAUCUUUCAGGUGGGAAGAUAAUGACUGUACCACCAGAAGAAGCCCCGGCUAACUCCGUGCCAGCCGCCGCAGUAA
This 449-nucleotide ribosomal RNA is filed under the name uncultured bacterium. RNAcentral describes it as "partial 16S ribosomal RNA". It matches the Rfam family "Bacterial small subunit ribosomal RNA", at positions 29 to 523 of the family's 1533-position model. The record is from RNAcentral.